UCGUGUCUAGCCUGUUUUCUACGGUGCUUUCGUGCUCCCCGCUUUCCAUCACCCUCCCCGGUGCGGGGCCUCUCAGGGCUUCCCGGCCUCCCCGCCCAGGCGCCGGCUGGGCGCUGGCAGGGAGUGGCUGCGGGCGCACCGCCCGGCCGGCAGGGGGCGCUGCCUUAGCAGGAAUGGUGGCGGCGGGCCCGCGGCCUCCGGGCGGCUGCGCCGUGUCCUCCGGUGCCUCCGGGUUCCUCCGGGGGUCCUUCGCGGUGCGCCCGGGGCGUUUGGCCUCCGUUCCCAAAGCGGUGCCCUUAACGGCUGCUUCCGGCUGGGCCUCCAGCACCGGGGUGGGGAGGCUGCGUAGUUCAGAAUCACAGAAUGACCUGGGUUGGAAGGGACCUCAAGGAUCAUGUAGUUCCAACCCCCCUGCCUGGCAGGGCCACCAAACAUACACAUUUACUAGAUCAGGUUGCCCAGGGCCCCGUCCAACCUGGUCUUGAACACCUCCAAGGACGGGGCAUCCACAACCUCCCUGGGGAUGAGGAGCAAUGCUGGCGUGGGUCAGGAGGUGCUGCCCAGUUUGGGCCCAGCAGCAGCAGUUAAUGGGAACAGCUGGGGUGCCCGUGUUAGACAUAGCGAGGCCAGGGGCAGCGUGUUGCACGGGGAUCCCUAAAGUGAGGGUAUUUUUGGACAUUCACUUCAGGACCUGGCGGUGCUUCCACUCCGGGCACGGGAGAGCCUGGCAGUUGGCGUUCCUUGAUAACUGUGCUCCCAUCUCUAUAAACAAAGCAAGGGUUUCUAGGGAGAGGUAAUGUCUGUUAUUAGAUCAGACCAGCUGACGGAAAGGUCAUGUUUUGUGGCAUAUUUUCAACCCUUUGUAUCCCAGACUGUGUUUGUUGGAGCUAGAUCAGCUGUGAAUGCUAGUACUUUUCACACAGAACGUGGCAAGAGUAAGCUGAACACAAUGCUCCAGAUGUGGCUUUAUACGUGCUGAACAGAGUGCAGUAAUCAUGUCCCUUGACCUGCUGGCUAUCGUCUUGCUAAUGCAGUCCAAGAUGUGGUUAGUAUUCAUUGCUGCAAGGACACACUGCUGACUUUGUUCAUUUUGUUGUCCUCUGGGCUCUAUCCUGUAGAACUGUUAGUCUCUGCCUGCACUAAUAUUCGUAUUUUUACAGUUUCAAGACAGAUUUGUCUGUUCUCCUCCAGUUUGUUGAAGUCCCAGAACAGGAGCUCUUCUCUGCAGUAUUCUGACAGCCUCCCCUUGAUUUGAUUUUACUCCGUACUUACUAAAGAUCUUAUCAUUCAGGUCAUGAAUGAAAACACUAAGUCUUACCAUCCCCAGUCUUCUUCCAGGGAUUGCCACUGGGAAUCACCUGCUAAUUGGACUUUUGUUGACUGCUCUUUGAGUCAGUGAGCUGGUCAGUUUUUAACUAACCUAGUAGUUUACCUACCAAACCUGUAUCUCCCAGUUUGCCUUCAAGAACUCUUUCACAAAUCUUUCUGAAGACAAGAGGAACAAUGCCAUCUACUCCAUCUCUCUCAGUCAGCAUGUAAUUUAUUUGUAAAAGGCAAUCAGUGUGAUAAAACAGUUUGCUCUUGGUAAAUUCAAGAUGACCAUUCUCAAUCAUAUACUUUGUCAUUGUGUGAAUGAGAAUGAUUUCUCUGAGUACUUGUUCCAUAAUUUUCCCACAGACUGUGGUAAGGUUGGUCAGCCUGUAGUUACCUAGAUCAUCCUUGCCAUUUUCUAUAAGAGACGCUACAUUUUUAUAAUUGUCAGGAACCUCCUCUGACCACUGUGGCCUGAAGAACGGAUAGAGAGCAGCCUUGAGUGACAUUUGCUGGCAGCCUAAAUACUCUUGGAUGUAUGCUGUGCAGUCCCAUGGUCUUGUAUUGCAUUUACAGCUUAUUUAGCCAUUAGCUUUAACCUUGCUACUUGUCAUGGAGGUCUGGGAGGCCUGUGAGCAGAUCUUGCCAGUAGAAAUAGCCUUUCAGUAUACAGUACUGUGGUAAAAUGUGGUAAAGAUGGACAACUCUAUUGGAAUCUGUUCAGAAAUAAACCUCUGUGUUCAGAUGUCUGAUGAGGACUCUAAGGAAAUGAAUGUCAACCUUUCAUCAGCAGAGAAUACACAAGAAAUAUAACCCAUUUGUUGCAACAUUAUUUAGAACAAUACUGGGGGACAGUCAAAAGAGUGCUGAAAAACUGGUAGGACUUGCAAGCAGAACACAAAAGCUAGAAACCAAUUGUUAAAAUGUGAGGCUUUACUUAUUUUGUUUUUUGUUUAUUUGGGAAAAAGUUAAGAGAGAACCUUGUACCAUCAGUCUAGAAACAUCUUUAUUUAUUUUUUAUUUUUCUCUUGUGUGUGAUAGCUCUUUAAGUUUCACAUAGGAAGAGCUUCCUAGCUUAGGAACUGGAAUAAACCAACUGUAGAAGCAAAGUGGAGGAGGGAUUAACAGAAGGUAAAUGUAGUCCUCUAUAAAUUAAGUUGAGAGGAUAUGUUCACGUCUGAAAAGAAUUUAUGGAUUCCAUGGCAUUGUGUCAAGGGAAGUCUGGCUGGAGAGUCUCCCCAGCUUUUAUACUUAUGACUGAAGGAGCAUGGCUCUCCAUAGAACUGAGUUCUCAGGACCUCGUCUUUCACGUUUACAAAUGUGGCACAUUGUGUUCAGUACAGAGACAGCACAAACUCAUCAGCUGUUUUCCUCUUCACAAAGUGUAUGGAAGAACUAAGGCAAGAUCUAGGAAGGGUAAUGAGGAUGAUUAAGGAUAUGAAAAUAUUCUGUUUUGAAAUAUCAGGGCAUUUUUGUUGUUGUUGUUGUUGUUUGUUUUGUUCUGUUUUUUAACCUUAGAGAGAAGGUUAAAAAGGGGUAUGCAGUAGAAUAAUUGUCUGGGUACAGUAGAUUAGAUGGCUGUGUUCUCUGUCAUCUAACAUAAGCACAGGAACAUCAAGGAAAAUUAAAAAGUAACAUUCAAAACUGAUAAAAUACAAGCUAUAAUUACCUUUACUUAUAAAACUUGUAAUUAGAGUGUGGAAUUCACUGCCAAAUCACAAAGGCCAAGAAUGCAACAAGAUUAAAAAGAGUAUUGUAUUUUUAGGGAUAACAAGAAUAUUCAAGAGUUACGGUUGGCUGAUAAAAAUAAGAGAAGGGCUAUUAGGUCUCAGAUUUCAAGGUGGAAACCAAAUUUCUGUUGACUAGAAUGGCCUACUGAUAUUGGCUAAUCAGUGAAUAAGCAACGUGAGUAAGGAGGAUAUAGUCCACCUCUGCCUGCCCGUGAACCUUUGUAUAGGGAGAUCCAAUGUGCUGAACUAUGUAGUGAGGCAGUUCUUAACAAAGUCCUAUGUUUGGUUGAUUUAAUUCUGCUUGUUAUUUAUGAAACAUAAAUAUAUGUAAAAAAACCUUAACUGAGCUUUGAACAUCUUAGCUAUAACGUUUAUAUAAUUCCAUUGGAUCCGUGACCAGAUUCAAAAGUCAUAUUGCUGUGUUUGCAAUAAAAUAAUUCAAGACUUUUUUUUUUUUUUUUUUUUAAUCAUAAAUUAAUUCCAAGUCAGUGGCAGCCACUAAUGUGGCUUUUUAUACUUCAGAACAGGCAGAACAUUUUAAGUGGUUAUAUGAUGAUUAUAUAUGUCAGUGACAACUUGCAAAAAGAGAGUUGUCUUCAGAGGGGAUCAAUGGUCAGAGAUGUCUUCACAUGAUCUCUUGAGUUUUUGACACUAAAUUUAAAUAAAAAUUAUAAUACCACCACUUAUGGUCUUUUGCUACUAACUUCUACUCUUUAUGUACUUCCAAUUUUAAAAGAAAGAGGAGUCAUUUAAUUAGAUUAGAGUCAUUAGAUUUAGUGUGGAUAGAGAUGUGGUGAGCGGGAGAUUUCAUUCUGUAAUUGUUAAAAUGAUAGUGGUUGCUAUGUGGACAUGAUGAGUUUCACAAUCUUAAGUGUAAUAGGUGGAUACGCUUUGGAACAGCUGUUUAAAUUUUCUAGCACUUUUAUGGCUAUAUAGGCUCCUGGUUGAGGGGUGCUAAAAUGAAUGGGGUAGAAGAAUUCAUACUUUUCCUGCUGCUUUUACAUCGCUGUCACUUCUGUUGUGCUUUCAUCUCCACUUUCUCCACUUCAUCUUCUCAACCAUUCUGUAAUGAGAGAACUAUUUUAAAGUUAUUCUAAUAACAGAAAUAAAAUCUGUACUUUGAACCACG
Coturnix japonica (Japanese quail) is the source of this 4170-nucleotide non-coding RNA. The record is from RefSeq and is a predicted model, not a curated record. Lineage: Eukaryota; Metazoa; Chordata; Aves; Galliformes; Phasianidae.